GGCACUAUGAAAACGUAUGAAUUCCAAAUACAUUGUUAUAAAACUCAAGGGCUACAACGCCAACAUUCACAGUCUGUUCUUUUCUCAGCGGAAUAUCAGCCUCUUACUUAAUAAUUGACUGUGUUCUUAAUUCAGCUGACAUGGGCUGCCAGCAACAAGAAGUUGCUGAUGAUGGCAGUAAACAUCGUUUUGAGCCAGAAGUCUGUUGGUUCACAGCCUGCUAAGGGAGAAGGAGGCCAUGCUGGAGCAUAGGUUGCCCCUGGCCCCAGAGCAGGGAGCUGGGUAAGCUCCUACACACAUCCUCAGAGUGGCUACACUUUUGUGGCAAAGAACAGCCAACUCCUGACAUCCUUCAGAAUCCCCAAUAACAAGAAAACCAGAGAAGGUGGAAGAGAUCAGGUGUGACUGGAACAGGGACAGGACUGAGUAAGUAAGUGGAAAAUCUCUUCCAAGAGAAACAACAAGCCAAUAAUAGUAACGAACUCAUGGGAUUGUUACAGAGCC
Long non-coding RNA from Orcinus orca (killer whale), 504 nucleotides. RefSeq lists it as uncharacterized. NCBI's taxonomy places the organism in Eukaryota, Metazoa, Chordata, Mammalia, Artiodactyla, Delphinidae. The transcript is spliced from 4 exons. The record is from RefSeq and is a predicted model, not a curated record.